RNAcentral lists this ribosomal RNA (422 nucleotides) under uncultured bacterium. RNAcentral's name for it is "bacterial SSU rRNA". It matches the Rfam family "Bacterial small subunit ribosomal RNA", at positions 355 to 774 of the family's 1533-position model. The record is from RNAcentral.
UGAGGAAUAUUGCGCAAUGGAGGCAACUCUGACGCAGCCAUGCCGCGUGCAGGAAGAAGGCGCUACGCGUUGUAAACUGCUUUUAUCCGGGAAGAAACCCCUCCACGCGUGGAGGGUUGACGGUACCGGAGGAAUAAGCACCGGCUAACUUCGUGCCAGCAGCCGCGGUAAUACGAAGGGUGCAAGCGUUAUCCGGAUUCAUUGGGUUUAAAGGGUGCGUAGGCGGGAUAGCAAGUCAGUGGUGAAAUCCCGUGGCUUAACCACGGAAUUGCCAUUGAUACUGCUGCUCUUGAGUACGCGCGACGUGGGCGGAAUGUGCCGUGUAGCGGUGAAAUGCUUAGAUAUGGCACAGAACACAGAUAGUGAAGACAGCUCACGAGGGCGAAACUGACGCUGAGGCACGAAAGCGUGGGGAUCAAACA